GCGUUGGCCCAAUUGUAUAUGAUGGUGCUUGCACCUGAUUGAUUUUGGUUGCCAGCGAGUGGCGGACGGGUGAGUAACACGUAGGUAACCUGCCCAGAAGCGGGGGACAACAUUUGGAAACAGAUGCUAAUACCGCAUAACAGCGUUGUUCGCAUGAACAACGCUUAAAAGAUGGCUUCUCGCUAUCACUUCUGGAUGGACCUGCGGUGCAUUAGCUUGUUGGUGGGGUAACGGCCUACCAAGGCGAUGAUGCAUAGCCGAGUUGAGAGACUGAUCGGCCACAAUGGGACUGAGACACGGCCCAUACUCCUACGGGAGGCAGCAGUAGGGAAUCUUCCACAAUGGGCGCAAGCCUGAUGGAGCAACACCGCGUGAGUGAAGAAGGGUUUCGGCUCGUAAAGCUCUGUUGUUAAAGAAGAACACGUAUGAGAGUAACUGUUCAUACGUUGACGGUAUUUAACCAGAAAGUCACGGCUAACUACGUGCCAGCAGCCGCGGUAAUACGUAGGUGGCAAGCGUUAUCCGGAUUUAUUGGGCGUAAAGAGAGUGCAGGCGGUUUUCUAAGUCUGAUGUGAAAGCCUUCGGCUUAACCGGAGAAGUGCAUCGGAAACUGGAUAACUUGAGUGCAGAAGAGGGUAGUGGAACUCCAUGUGUAGCGGUGGAAUGCGUAGAUAUAUGGAAGAACACCAGUGGCGAAGGCGGCUACCUGGUCUGCAACUGACGCUGAGACUCGAAAGCAUGGGUAGCGAACAGGAUUAGAUACCCUGGUAGUCCAUGCCGUAAACGAUGAGUGCUAGGUGUUGGAGGGUUUCCGCCCUUCAGUGCCGGAGCUAACGCAUUAAGCACUCCGCCUGGGGAGUACGACCGCAAGGUUGAAACUCAAAGGAAUUGACGGGGGCCCGCACAAGCGGUGGAGCAUGUGGUUUAAUUCGAAGCUACGCGAAGAACCUUACCAGGUCUUGACAUCUUGCGCCAACCCUAGAGAUAGGGCGUUUCCUUCGGGAACGCAAUGACAGGUGGUGCAUGGUCGUCGUCAGCUCGUGUCGUGAGAUGUUGGGUUAAGUCCCGCAACGAGCGCAACCCUUGUUACUAGUUGCCAGCAUUAAGUUGGGCACUCUAGUGAGACUGCCGGUGACAAACCGGAGGAAGGUGGGGACGACGUCAGAUCAUCAUGCCCCUUAUGACCUGGGCUACACACGUGCUACAAUGGACGGUACAACGAGUCGCGAACUCGCGAGGGCAAGCAAAUCUCUUAAAACCGUUCUCAGUUCGGACUGCAGGCUGCAACUCGCCUGCACGAAGUCGGAAUCGCUAGUAAUCGCGGAUCAGCAUGCCGCGGUGAAUACGUUCCCGGGCCUUGUACACACCGCCCGUCACACCAUGAGAGUUUGUAACACCCAAAGUCGGUGGGGUAACCUUUUAGGAGCCA
This 1429-nucleotide ribosomal RNA is filed under the name Limosilactobacillus fermentum. RNAcentral describes it as "bacterial SSU rRNA". It matches the Rfam family "Bacterial small subunit ribosomal RNA". Lineage: Bacteria; Bacillati; Bacillota; Bacilli; Lactobacillales; Lactobacillaceae. The record is from RNAcentral.